AUUGAACGCUGGUGGCAUGCUUAACACAUGCAAGUCGAACGGUAACAUAAAGUAGCUUGCUACUUUGAUGACGAGUGGCGGACGGGUGAGUAAUGCGUAGGAAUCUGCCUUUUAGCGGGGGACAACUUAGGGAAACUUAAGCUAAUACCGCAUAAUACCUUCGGGUUAAAGCUGGCUUCGGCUGGCGCUAAAAGAUGAGCCUACGUUGGAUUAGCUAGUUGGUAAGGUAAAAGCUUACCAAGGCGACGAUCUAUAGCUGUUCUGAGAGGAAGAUCAGCCACACUGGGACUGAGACACGGCCCAG
RNAcentral lists this ribosomal RNA (304 nucleotides) under uncultured bacterium. RNAcentral's name for it is "bacterial SSU rRNA". It matches the Rfam family "Bacterial small subunit ribosomal RNA", at positions 30 to 334 of the family's 1533-position model. The record is from RNAcentral.